UACGGAGGGUGCAAGCGUUAUCCGGAUUCACUGGGUUUAAAGGGUGCGUAGGUGGGUUGGUAAGUCCGUGGUGAAAUCUCCGAGCUUAACUCGGAAACUGCCGUGGAUACUAUCAAUCUUGAAUACUGUGGAGGUAAGCGGAAUAUGUCAUGUAGCGGUGAAAUGCUUAGAUAUGACAUAGAACACCUAUUGCGAAGGCAGCUUACUACGCAGAUAUUGACGCUCAUGCACGAAAGCGUGGGGAUCAAACAGG
Molecule: ribosomal RNA, 253 nt
Filed under: uncultured bacterium
Lineage: Bacteria
Description: partial 16S ribosomal RNA
Rfam family: Bacterial small subunit ribosomal RNA
Source: RNAcentral